RNAcentral lists this unclassified non-coding RNA (3889 nucleotides) under Leishmania donovani. RNAcentral describes it as "gene:LdHU3.13.0810(CDS-product:ubiquitin-like_pro tein)". Lineage: Eukaryota; Euglenozoa; Kinetoplastea; Trypanosomatida; Trypanosomatidae. The record is from RNAcentral.
ACGCACGUGUGCAUACCUGUGCGUGCACAACACGACGCUCCACCACCCCCACUCACACACCCACACCCUUUAUCUUCGCAGAGCACCUUUCCUUUCGUUGGCUUGCUGCUCUCCCCCUCCUUGCACCGUCAUCGCUGCAGCCUAUCGAGUGUGCUUCCGCCUUCCACUGUGUACCGCCCUGAAGAGUGGCCGUGGCGCUCAUUGCUACACGUAUUCAUUUCGAUAUCGAGCUGGCAGGGAGGUGGUGGCGCCCCCACCCCCAUACACAGGUGCACAGUAACACAUCUAUAUAUAUACACACAGCCGUCGCCCUCCCGCGUUCCAGCGUGUGCGUGUGCUCAGCCGCAUUAGCCGACCUCUGCCCUUCGGUCGGCAUAUUUCUUGCCUUCGCUCUUCGUUCUUUCUUGUCCCGUGUGUCGUCUGUGUCCCCCUCUAACCGCCCUUACACGCCAGAUGCGCAUCCAGGUCCGAGGCACCGCCCCGUACAGCAGCGACGAUGUCGUCGUCUUGGAAAACCUCACGGUGGCGGAGCUACGCAACAGCCUCAUGGCCAGGUUUAACAUCGACGCCGCGACGCACAGCAUCCGCCUGCUAUACCGCGGACGACUGAUGCAGGACGCCAACUCGGUGGCCAGCUACGGUGUGGAGGAGGGCAGCACCGUGCACAUUGUGGUGCAGCCCCGUCAGCCGGAGGGCGGCAACAACGGAGGCGGUGAAGAGCACAGCGCUGGCCCGAACCAACAACAUCAGUUCACGAUGCCUCAGUUCUCCUUUGGUACGGCGGGCAACAGCGGCUACAACUACGUGUCAGGGGGCGGCUUCUCUUGGCAGCCCUUCGCCUCUACGAUCGCCAGCUCCAUCUCCACUGCCUUUCAGCAGCAUCAGCAGACGGCGCCGCAGGGGGCGUCGAUGCCAUCGGCAACCCCUCCAGCAUCGGACAGCAGUCCGCACGUGACCUUCUCUUAUGAGAUGGGCUCGAACGUGCCGAGGAGCGACGGCACGGCUGCCGCUGGCGCUGCCGCUGGUAGUGGUAUUGAUGCAGCGGCAGCGGCAGCGGCGGCCGCCAACCCUGCGGUGGCCGCCACCGUGAACGCCUUUACUUCGCAGCUGCCGUGGCUGAUCUCGUCCGUCCUUUCCAACUCGCUGAACGGCAAUGCGGGUGCUCAACAGUCGCAGCAGCAGCAGCAGCAGCAGCCAUCCACCGCAGGUGCUACGCCAGCGGAAACGGCGGGUGGGACGGCGGCACCAGCAGGCUCAGCCUCUGGUAGCACAAGUGCAGGUGCCGCGGCGAACGCCGCAGCGCCAGGGCAACGUGAGGCCUCCACACCUUCCCCCGCUGCACCGCAGCCACCAGCUGCUCCUGCACCUGCCGCUGCUGCCGGUGGUGUUGCCCCGCAGCCCACUUUCCACUUCACCACGGCUGCCUCUCCACCACGCAUGGAUGUGUUUGUGGGCAACGCAGCGCCGUCGAUGUCGCCCCUGCAGUACCCGCAGCAGCAAUCAUCGGUUGUGCACAUCCAUGUGCACUGCACCCCAGAGGAGCUGGACGCCAUGCCGGAGCGUCUGCGGCGACUCUCUACGCAGAUCCCAGUGGGGCAUGUGACGCUGCAGGCGGACACCACAGAUCGUAACAGCUAUCCCCAGCCCACGCUGCAGGAACAGCAGCAGCAGCAGCAACCGCGCGCCACGGCCGCCUUCCAGGCGAACAGCACCAAUGCCUCCUCUGCAAGCGACACACAGACGCCAUGGAUCAACGAAGCCAUGAGCACCGCGCUGGCAACGUUGGGAAUGCCGCAGCUGUUGCAACUGGCAGCGGGCAACUGCAGCGUCCUUGCGAGCCUGCGGCUGCCAUUGCAGGAGCAGGUGCAACGGCGGCUCAACGGAACGGACGAGUCGCCGGCUGCCGUGGUGCAUGUGGCCCAGAACGAGGCGAGGCAGCUCAGCGAGCGUAUCCUAAGCAUGUCGGCUGUGCAGAACCUGAUGACGCAGCAGACGGCAGCGGCCACGAGUGCCGGGAGGACCGUUGCGGAAGCGUCUCAGCGCGUGGGGAUGUUCCGGCAGGAGCUUCCGCGCUACCUCGAGCACUUCUACGUGUCUGUCAUGCAGCACCUCUCCCGCAGCUCGGCAAACGCGGCGGAGUGGAGUCGGGGCCUACGCAACAUCGUGGUGCGUUACGUUGGCAUGGUCCUCAGCCGCUCGGCACGGUGGUUCGAAGGCGGUAGCGGCGCCUUUCAACCCGCCAUGGCAAGCAUUAUGCAGACACUCCUGCAGAGCAGCGGCGUGCAACAGCAGUACCCCAUGCUGCAGGCUUUCUCCUCCAUGCUCAGCCCGAUGCUGCAGUCACUACUGGGUCAGUGGGAGCGGGAGUAUGACCAGAGCAUGCGGCGCAGCGACGACAGCUUGCAGUUCGAGCAGGACGCGUCACAGCAGCCGACCUCGCCGCUCCUGCCGCCUCAGGCGCCAGUCAAGGCCCCCGCCGCCUCCGCCUUCGAUCGCGCGGCAACGGCGCCGUCGCUGGUCGCGGAGUCGGUCAGUGACCUGCUGACGGCCGGCAACGCCGACACCCUCGACGGCGCCGCGCGCAUGGACGACGAUUUCGAGGAUCUCGCGAAGGAGCUGAUGGAGGACGCUGACAACGACGCGCCCCAGUCGGCAAAGAAGGCGGUCACGCCGAAGUCAUGGCCGUUGGAGACGCCAAGCAGCGACCUGUCGGCGGUAGCCUCUCAGGCCCGCCUGGCGUCCGCUGUGGAGGAAUGGGAGGAAGCCUGUGAUGUGCCGCACUCAGUCGCCGAGCGGGUGCGUGCCAUGGCGACGCGCUACACUGAGGCGCGUGUGACGCGGGUGUUGCCGAGCAACACCGCGGAGAGCGCGUCCACGCCGCAAGCGCCACCGCCAUCGCAUGCGGAAGGGCGACAGAAUUCGUCCACGCGCGGGCACAGUGACGACUGGGUGAUGUGGGAGGCAAACCCCUAUGGCAACUCCGCCUCACGCCGGUAGGCAUAGCAGCGCGCGAGAAGGGAAUGCGCGUGUGUGCGCCUUCUGCCAUAUUACAGCGAGAACGAUAUCUAAACUUUAAUGUCGGAUGGGAGGAGGAGGAGACAUCAACACAGAUGCAGCGUGACUUCUCUUCCUUGACGGGCGUCCACCCACCCCCGAAAAGACAUGCGCCCUCUUUUGCCUGGGUCCUGCUCGUGUUGCACGUGUGUCUGUGCUCCGUAUCUCCGAAUACGUUCCCCGGCUCACGUGUCUCCUCCUCCCUCCCCUACCCGCUCCCCUCCGUUCCACUGUCUCUCGCUCGGCGUGCGCAUGUGUGUACGCCGCGCGCGCGGCGCGGUGUCGCUCUGAUUCUAUUGCUGUCACUGUUACCUAUUUUUCUGAACGUCCUGUCAAGCCCGUCUGCACGUGUCGUCUACAUGUGCCUCUCAGUGGGUUGGGGGAGGGAGAGGGGGGGGCACUGACACCGGUGUGCACGCCUUCCAUCUACCUCUCGCCGUGCACGGACUCGCCCAUCCCACGCCCCGCCUUGGCCGCUUACUCUCCACCCAGCGUCCGUUGCAGCAGGCGUCGAAAAUCACUCGUGUGAUCUUCGUCACUUGUGCGUCCCCGCAUCGACCUCUCUCGCUCACGUUCUCUUUAUUCGUUCGCCAUCUGUGCACACGCAUCCGUCAUCGCGCACCCACGCACACGGUCGGCGGCGCGUGCAAGUAAUCGUGUCAAGCGGCUUUGGGGCACGAGAGAGGGAGGCACAGUGAUGCGCACGCGGGUCCCACUGUGCGCCGGCGAUACCUUUCCUGCCGCCGCAGGCCGCCCACCACCCCCUUGCACCUCCAUGUCCUCAGCCUCCAUCAUCGCUCUCUCUCUCUCUGUCUCCACCGCUCUUUGUGCUCAG